This 494-nucleotide ribosomal RNA is filed under the name uncultured bacterium. RNAcentral describes it as "partial 16S ribosomal RNA". It matches the Rfam family "Bacterial small subunit ribosomal RNA", at positions 28 to 507 of the family's 1533-position model. The record is from RNAcentral.
GACGAACGCUGGCGGCGUGCUUAACACAUGCAAGUCGAACGGAAAGGCCUGCUUUCCCUUGUGGAUUGCGGGUACUCGAGUGGCGAACGGGUGAGUAACACGUGAGUGAUCUGCCCCCAACUUGGGUAUAAGCCUGGGAAAUUGGGUCUAAUUCCCGAUAGGACUGCAGGGUGGUGCCUGUGGUGGAAAACGAUUUUCUAGUGGUUGGGGAUGAGCUCGCGGCCUAUCAGCUUGUUGGUGGGGUAAUGGCCUACCAAGGCGGCGACGGGUAGCCGGCCUGAGAGGGUGGACGGCCACAUUGGGACUGAGAUACGGCCCAGACUCCUACGGGAGGCAGCAGUGGGGAAUAGUGCACAAUGGGCGGAAGCCUGAUGCAGCGACGCCGCGUGGGGGAUGACGGCCUUCGGGUUGUAAACUCCUUUCGACCGCGAGGAAGCCACCUGGUUGGAAGGGUGGUGACGGUAGUGGUAGAAGAAGCACCGGCUAACUACGUG